Molecule: non-coding RNA, 48 nt
Filed under: Trypanosoma brucei brucei
Lineage: Eukaryota; Euglenozoa; Kinetoplastea; Trypanosomatida; Trypanosomatidae
Source: RNAcentral
UAAUACAAUAAUACGAGAUUAGACUAUGUGAAUUAAAUGGUAUAAUUA